UACGUAGGGUGCGAGCGUUGUCCGGAAUUAUUGGGCGUAAAGAGCUCGUAGGCGGUUUGUCACGUCUGCUGUGAAAUCCCGAGGCUCAACCUCGGGCCUGCAGUGGGUACGGGCAGACUGGAGUGCGGUAGGGGAGAAUGGAAUUCCUGGUGUAGCGGUGGAAUGCGCAGAUAUCAGGAGGAACACCGAUGGCGAAGGCAGUUCUCUGGGCCACUACUGACGCUGAGAAGCGAAAGCGUGGGGAGCGAACAGG
This 253-nucleotide ribosomal RNA is filed under the name uncultured bacterium. RNAcentral's name for it is "partial 16S ribosomal RNA". It matches the Rfam family "Bacterial small subunit ribosomal RNA", at positions 524 to 776 of the family's 1533-position model. The record is from RNAcentral.